Molecule: non-coding RNA, 174 nt
Organism: Podarcis lilfordi (Lilford's wall lizard)
Lineage: Eukaryota; Metazoa; Chordata; Lepidosauria; Squamata; Lacertidae
Source: the annotation of a GenBank genome assembly
GACCAACUAAGUUAGUUCUUGGUAUGAGCUUUCGUGUGCAAGCACACUUCUUCAGAUACACUGAAACAGAAGUUGCCAGAUCACUAUAUAGAAGGAUCUGGCAACUUCUGUUUCAGUGUAUCUGAAGAAGUGUGCUUGCACACGAAAGCUCAUACCAAGAACUAACUUAGUUGG